Non-coding RNA from Photobacterium halotolerans, 121 nucleotides. NCBI's taxonomy places the organism in Bacteria, Pseudomonadati, Pseudomonadota, Gammaproteobacteria, Vibrionales, Vibrionaceae. The record is from Rfam.
GCCGAAUACCGCCCUGUUUUUCUUUCACUUCUUUUUUCGCUCACCAUAGAUGGGGGCUCUCGUUACGCAAGAAACAAGCGAAAGACGAACAGUAAGCCUCCCAAUCGGGAGGCUUUUUCAU